CCUACGGGUGACAGCAGUGAGGAAUAUUGGUCAAUGGACGCAAGUCUGAACCAGCCAUGCCGCGUGCAGGAAGACGGCUCUAUGAGUUGUAAACUGCUUUUGUACGAGGGUAAACGCAGAUACGUGUAUAUUUCUGAAAGUAUCGUACGAAUACGGAUCGGCUAACUCCGUGCCAGCAGCCGCGGUAAUACGGAGGAGUCAAGCGUUAUCCGGAUUUAUUGGGUUUAAAGGGUGCGUAGGCGGUCGGUUAAGUUAGUGGUUAAAUCCCGAGGGUCAACCUCGGAAUUGCCUCUGAUACUGGUCGGCUAGAGAGUAGUUGCGGUAGGCGGAAUGUAUGGUGUAGCGGUGAAAUGCUUAGAGAUCAUACAGAACACCGAUUGCGAAGGCAGCUUACCAAGCUACUUCUGACGUUGAGGCACGAAAGCGUGGGGAGCAAACAGGAUUAGAUACCCUGGUAGUC
Molecule: ribosomal RNA, 460 nt
Filed under: uncultured bacterium
Lineage: Bacteria
Description: partial 16S ribosomal RNA
Rfam family: Bacterial small subunit ribosomal RNA
Source: RNAcentral